Molecule: RNA transcript, 1961 nt
Organism: Zea mays
Lineage: Eukaryota; Viridiplantae; Streptophyta; Magnoliopsida; Poales; Poaceae
Exons: 7
Source: RefSeq, a predicted model, not a curated record
CCUUAAAACUACAAUAUUUUAAAAUUGCAUUCCCAAACAGGCCCUAAACUCUCAGUAUCCACGUUCCGGUUUGGGCUGCUGCUGCGCAGUUGCAUUUUCGCGAGCGUUCCUCGGAUGAUCGUGGUCACCUACUCACCUUUUUGCAACCACCGUCAUUUUUUUUUGACCCCGGUUCUUCUUUUCUCCUCUGCUUCCAGUCCCAGCACUCCAGCAUGAUCCGUUAGGCACUCGCUCUGCUGGACCGCAGGGAUGAGUCGAGGCAGCUACGGAUCGCUCGAGCAAGUGGAUCCUCCGUCCAGGGCUGGGAUGCCAAGGUACGAUGCCAAGCUCGCAGGACAAUAAAACAAUAUUUUAUCAACGGAAGGAGAAUCACAGUGUAGAUAAUGAGAGACAUGACUCCGAGGAGGUCAUCUGUGUUGUUGAUCCCGUUUGUGAAGGUGCUGGAGAAAACAUAGAGCGGAGAAGUCCCCAUGUCUCCGUAGACCACACCUAUGCUCUGGAAUGCUAGGUGCAGUGUGGUCGCCCAGCCAACCUUCAUUACCAAAGUGCAUACUCUGAAUCAGAUUACAUUUGCCUCGAAAAGAAAGCAAGAAAGAAAGCAGACAAUAUGCUUUUAGGCACACAACCCUUAGAUGAUGAAGCAGCUAGCUGAUAUGCUUAGUCUCUUCAGUAAGGCAAGGACGAACACGACAGUGCAGCAGUUACUUAAGAUUUCAGCAGAACCAUAGAAACACUUUACGAGAUGAAAAAAAGAACACAUACAAGAAGAAAAAAAAACUCAACCACAUAUGGAUACUCCCAUUAGACUUUGUUCUAAGAAGGCAACAGGGGUUUCAUGGACCCUGGAGUUCAAGGGUCGAGAAUCUUUCGUGCAACACGUUACACACGGCUCUAAGGCAAAAGGAGGAUCAUUAUCUGAUUGGAUAAGAGUAGUCGGAGAACUAACAUAUACCUUGGCUGCAUGCGUCGAUCCACCAGCAGGGAACAUUCCAGCCUCCAUGUGCAGUGAAUCAUAUCUCUGUAGCCUCUUGGGCGGCAUUUUCUCCGACGCAUCAUCAGCAUCACCGUGAGCAGCUCCGUUGCUGCUUGUGUGGUGAGGUUCAGCCAUGCUAGACUAGAAGUGCAUGCAUGUUGGCGGAGGCCAGACGCUGUUGCUGUCGUUCGCUUCACUUGCCGAGGUCUUCGUUCAACGCCGCAGCCGUGAAACGCUUGUGAUUUUCUUUACACAAGCCGGGAAGGUGGCUACGUGCGUGGUGGGAGGGCGUGGUGACUUUUCUUCAUCCGCAGUGGCUGUCACUGGAUUCCGUCGCGACUGCAAAACACAAACGGUUGUUUUCAGUGAGGACCAUGUAGAUGCAGCGAAUGCAGAGCUUUGGGCUACAAGUCUAUGGUGUGACCGUGUGAUGAACUGAUGGUAAAGAGCAGGAUCCGUGCAGAGAAAAGUCUUCGUGAUAAUGGCUUCUAGCCUUCUGGAAUAUUUACCACCUGCGGCCAAGCGUGUGAAAAUUGCUCGGAAAGAUUGGCAAGCUGAAUGACCGAAGGGGAUAAGAUCAUUGACCGUGUGCGCAAGUCUGGUUGCUCUCUCAGGUGUCCCUAUCAGGGCUUAGAAAGGACGUGUUUGGACUUGGACGAACUCAAGGAGAACUACAUAAUGACGAUUUAGUGACGGGGUUUUUUUAAGAAGGGUUUAGUGAUGACUUGUUACAUGCAGCUUUCGGCUCCAGGACUUGGGUUUGGUAAGCUGUUUCUCUGUUAAGUCUGCUAUUGGGGGUACAGAUCCAAUGCACCGAAUGAUCAACAGAACCAUAAACGUCGGGCUGGUUUGGUAACUUAGCCAGACCUGUGGGCAGCCCAUCCCCUGAGGCGUUUUAUUGGGCCUCACCUUUUUUUCCCCCAGAUUAUUUUGGCGUCGGUUUUCAUACGCCAACAUAAAUGGAGCGUCAAUUCCAGCAUUUGUUUCA